Molecule: long non-coding RNA, 435 nt
Organism: Chinchilla lanigera (long-tailed chinchilla)
Lineage: Eukaryota; Metazoa; Chordata; Mammalia; Rodentia; Chinchillidae
Exons: 3
Source: RefSeq, a predicted model, not a curated record
CACAGCUGAUAGUGGGUGAGUGGAGUCACAGAACACAAACCUGCAGAUUCUGUUACUCUUGUACGGGGGACCCUACAGGAUGUUGUACAUUGCAGAAAAUCCAGCACACUGGCACCCCUUACAGAAGAAACUGGAAAUGGCUGUGCAGCGAUCUCAACGGCCAAGGUUACCCAAGAAGCAGUUUGCUGUACUCAUAAAUGUCUGGAAGCUGAUGGCCACCACUUUGCACACCUCUUGUAAUUGUAGAGGCAAAAGGUGUCCUAGAUGCCCAGCAAAAAGGUAAUCUUUGCUGAAUAUGGAUGAGUUCUUCCAGAUCCUAGCCAGCCAAGGAAGUCAUUUUCGUCUUCUCAUAUGAGGAAACCAGCACCUGGAAUUCAACUGAUGUAAAAUGAUGUGGCUGGGUCAAAGUAAAAUUCUAAAUUUUCCUAACUAUUA